GGCUCAGAACGAACGCUGGCGGCAGGCUUAACACAUGCAAGUCGAGCGCSYMGCAAKGGGAGCGGCAGACGGGUGAGUAACGCGUGGGAAUCUACCCUUGACUACGGAAUAACGCAGGGAAACUUGUGCUAAUACCGUAUGUGUCCUUCGGGAGAAAGAUUUAUCGGUCAAGGAUGAGCCCGCGUUGGAUUAGCUAGUUGGUGGGGUAAAGGCCUACCAAGGCGACGAUCCAUAGCUGGUCUGAGAGGAUGAUCAGCCACAUUGGGACUGAGACACGGCCCAAACUCCUACGGGAGGCAGCAGUGGGGAAUAUUGGACAAUGGGCGCAAGCCUGAUCCAGCCAUGCCGCGUGAGUGAUGAAGGCCCUAGGGUUGUAAAGCUCUUUCACCGGAGAAGAUAAUGACG
RNAcentral lists this ribosomal RNA (405 nucleotides) under Rhizobium leguminosarum. Its description in RNAcentral is "bacterial SSU rRNA". It matches the Rfam family "Bacterial small subunit ribosomal RNA", at positions 21 to 456 of the family's 1533-position model. Lineage: Bacteria; Pseudomonadati; Pseudomonadota; Alphaproteobacteria; Hyphomicrobiales; Rhizobiaceae. The record is from RNAcentral.